CCCAAAAUCAAAAGCCCUAUUCUCUCACUAUCGACUCUCUCUCUCGCUAUUGGACCGAAGAACACAGCAAACCGGCAACCCUUCCCUCCCCUUCUCCUCGUCGGCGAUGCAGUCCGAUGGCGGAGGCAUCAGAACCGACGGCAGAGCUCCGGCGGCGAUGGACGGCCUUCAGCGACGAACGGCGGCUCGGAGCAACUUGGACCUCCCUUGGUCGACGACGAGGCAGUCUGGCGGUGGAGGCGAGCCCAGGUGGCGAUGACGGCGGCUCCCUUCUAUUCCCUCUCCGGCUGGACAGUGGCACAUCCUCUUCCCUCCUCCCUCUCUUGGCGGCGGUGAUGGUGGUGGGUCAGAGAAGUUUGAGCAGAAGUAGAGGGAGGUGGCAGUGUUGAUGAAUUAAGGUUCCCCGUUGAAUUGAAGUGGCUAGUCUGAGAUUUGAGUUUUAGAUUGGAUGUUUGUUUUUGGAGCUUAGCUUUGAGGACUUGAUAGAAGUGACUCGAUUUGAGAGCGCGGCGUAGAGUUCGUAUGCCUUGUAAUUGAAUUUGGUAUAGACCUUAUGGUUUUAGAAAUUGAAUUACAGAAGUGUAGUUAACUUGUACAUUCGGAAUAUAGAAGUGGUGUUGUAAAGAUUGUGGGAGUAAAUUAUAUGGUUGUUUAAUGUUGUGGAUUUGUAGUUGAAUAUAACCCCGUUAGCCUGUGCGUUUGGGCUUGGUUGACAGCCCAAGCGUGGCGUGACACCCCAUGGUUUAAGUUUUGAUUUCGCUUCCACAUUUAUUUUUAGAAUGGUUAGCAAGAAAGAUUGUUUAUUUAUGGUUUA
Molecule: long non-coding RNA, 814 nt
Organism: Ipomoea triloba (trilobed morning glory)
Lineage: Eukaryota; Viridiplantae; Streptophyta; Magnoliopsida; Solanales; Convolvulaceae
Exons: 3
Source: RefSeq, a predicted model, not a curated record